This 890-nucleotide ribosomal RNA is filed under the name bacterium UASWS0125. RNAcentral describes it as "bacterial SSU rRNA". It matches the Rfam family "Bacterial small subunit ribosomal RNA", at positions 96 to 980 of the family's 1533-position model. The record is from RNAcentral.
CGGCGGACGGGUGAGUAAUGCUUAGGAAUCUGCCUAUUAGUGGGGGACAACAUUCCGAAAGGAAUGCUAAUACCGCAUACGCCCUACGGGGGAAAGCAGGGGAUCUUCGGACCUUGCGCUAAUAGAUGAGCCUAAGUCGGAUUAGCUAGUUGGUGGGGUAAAGGCCUACCAAGGCGACGAUCUGUAGCGGGUCUGAGAGGAUGAUCCGCCACACUGGGACUGAGACACGGCCCAGACUCCUACGGGAGGCAGCAGUGGGGAAUAUUGGACAAUGGGGGGAACCCUGAUCCAGCCAUGCCGCGUGUGUGAAGAAGGCCUUUUGGUUGUAAAGCACUUUAAGCGAGGAGGAGGCUACCGAGACUAAUACUCUUGGAUAGUGGACGUUACUCGCAGAAUAAGCACCGGCUAACUCUGUGCCAGCAGCCGCGGUAAUACAGAGGGUGCGAGCGUUAAUCGGAUUUACUGGGCGUAAAGCGUGCGUAGGCGGCUGAUUAAGUCGGAUGUGAAAUCCCUGAGCUUAACUUAGGAAUUGCAUUCGAUACUGGUCAGCUAGAGUAUGGGAGAGGAUGGUAGAAUUCCAGGUGUAGCGGUGAAAUGCGUAGAGAUCUGGAGGAAUACCGAUGGCGAAGGCAGCCAUCUGGCCUAAUACUGACGCUGAGGUACGAAAGCAUGGGGAGCAAACAGGAUUAGAUACCCUGGUAGUCCAUGCCGUAAACGAUGUCUACUAGCCGUUGGGGCCUUUGAGGCUUUAGUGGCGCAGCUAACGCGAUAAGUAAACCGCCUGGGGAGUACGGUCACAAGACUAAAACUCAAAUGAAUUGACGGGGGCCCGCNCAAGCGGUGGAGCAUGUGGUUUAAUUCGAUGCAACCGCGAAAAACCUUACCUGGUC